This 277-nucleotide long non-coding RNA is filed under the name Solanum tuberosum (potato). RNAcentral describes it as "long non-coding RNA (STUB_LNC007985)". Lineage: Eukaryota; Viridiplantae; Streptophyta; Magnoliopsida; Solanales; Solanaceae. The record is from RNAcentral.
UUAAUGGGAAAUAAGGGAAUAAAACUAAUGAAACCCUUAAAAAUAAACUCGGAAGAAAUAUGCUGGUAGAGAAUGGAAUUUAGAGAAAUUCUGUAAAAAGGAAGUUUUAAGACCCAAUGACCACCUUACAUAUACUAAUAACAAAGGACAAACCUCAAUCAUAUUUACCGACUAUAAAUAUUCAAACCAAAGGGAAAUAGAUGAAGACCUCGAAGACAACACCACCGAAACAACAAUAAACAUGGAAGGAAUGAAUAUUCAUAUCAUAAAAGAAGAC